Molecule: transfer RNA, 63 nt
Filed under: Nymphon australe
Lineage: Eukaryota; Metazoa; Arthropoda; Pycnogonida; Pantopoda; Nymphonidae
Description: tRNA-Met
Source: RNAcentral
AAUAAGAUAAGCUAAAUUAAAGCUAGUGGGUUCAUACCCCAAAAAUAGAAAUUCUUCUUAUUA